UCACAUCAUAACCUGCAAAAACAAGUUAGGCGUCCUCUAUUUUUUGUUGCAUGUUUUAUGUGGCUGCUAUGGGUGACUAGCAAGAAGCGUUCUUAGCUAAGCAAAGCCACAACGGUGAUAUUCAAGUUGCUAUUUAACCUUCUACAAAGACUGCCUCUAUCGAAUUCGAUUCAACUAAAGUGGGAGAUACACACACCCGCCAUCCAUCUUUAUGCAACAAGUUGCAUGUCAGUCGAUGGAACCGGUCUCUCGUACGUGGACGAGUAAGGUUGGUUCGGGUCGAUUCGUCCAACAAUACCGCUGAAUCGAAAUAAGACUAUGGAAGUAAGCAAUGUGAAAAUCAACACCCCCAAACUCUUUUGUGUUCUACUUAUGCAUCUUAUCUACGUAUAGACCUUGCUCAUGAUGCCACUAUUGGGGAACGUCGCAGGGGAAACAAAAAAAUUCCUAUGCUCACCAAGAUCAAUCUAUGGAGACUAACAUCUACGAGAGGGGGAGUGGAUAUACAUACCCUUGUAGAUCGCUAAGAGGAAGUAUACAUAACGUGGUUGAUGUAGUCAUACGUCUUCACGAUCCAAUCGCGAUCCGUCCCGAUCUAGCGCCGAACGGACGACACCUCCGCGUUCAACACACGUAUGGCUCGAUGACGUCUCCUCCUUCUUGAUCCAGCAAGAGAGGAAGGAGAAGUAGAUGGGAUCUCAACCAACACGACGACAUGGUGGAUAUGAUGGUGGAGCAGUUCCAGCAGGGCUUCGCCAAGCGCUGUCGAAAUUGAUCCGAGGAUAAAAUGGAGUUAUGGGAGAGGUAGGGCUGCCACGGG
RNAcentral lists this long non-coding RNA (820 nucleotides) under Hordeum vulgare. RNAcentral describes it as "long non-coding RNA (HVUL_LNC001652)". Lineage: Eukaryota; Viridiplantae; Streptophyta; Magnoliopsida; Poales; Poaceae. The record is from RNAcentral.